This 129-nucleotide small nucleolar RNA is filed under the name Microcebus murinus (gray mouse lemur). Its description in RNAcentral is "Small nucleolar RNA SNORA70 (ENSMICG00000026210.3)". It matches the Rfam family "Small nucleolar RNA SNORA70". Rfam says of the family: snoRNA U70 seems to be exclusive to mammals and is a member of the H/ACA class of snoRNA which contain H (ANANNA) and ACA box motifs. H/ACA box snoRNAs are involved in the conversion of uridines to pseudouridines (5-ribosyluracil) a constituent of structural RNAs (transfer, ribosomal, small nuclear, and small nucleolar). Lineage: Eukaryota; Metazoa; Chordata; Mammalia; Primates; Cheirogaleidae. The record is from Rfam by way of RNAcentral.
CCACACCACUGUAUGGUUAAUUUUUUUAAAAAAUGGUGUGUGAUGGCUGCAAACAGCAGCCUCCUCCUCAGUGUUCACACGCAGCUUGUCACUUGUACAGGUUGCUCUAGGGGACCUUUGAAGACAAGC